CAAGUCGAACGCGAAAGUCCCCUUCGGGGGACGAGUAGAGUGGCGUCCGGGUGAGUAACACGUAGGUAAUCUACCUUCGGGUGGGGAAUAACGCAGGGAAACUUGCGCUAAUACCGCAUAAUGCAGCGGCACCACAUGGUGACAGUUGUUAAAGCGGGGGAUUUUCGAACCUCGCGCCUGAAGAGGAGCCUGCGGCAGAUUAGCUAGUUGGUAGGGUAACGGCUUACCAAGGCGACGAUCUGUAGCCGGCCUGAGAGGGCGGUCGGCCACACUGACACUGACAUACGGGUCAGACUCCUACGGGAGGCAGCAGUCGGGAAUUUUGGGCAAUGGGCGAAAGCCUGACCCAGCAACGCCGCGUGAAGGAUGAAAUCCUUCGGGAUGUAAACUUCGCAAGAAUAGGAAGAAUGAGCGAGCGCUAACACCGUUCGUGAUGACGGUACUAUUUGUAAGCUCCGGCUAACUCCGUGCCAGCAGCCGCGGUAAUACGGGGGGAGCAAGCGUUGUUCGGAUUUACUGGGCGUAAAGGGCGCGUAGGCGGUCAGCACAAGUCAGUUGUGAAAUCUCCGGGCUUAACUCGGAAAGGUCAACUGAUACUGUGCGACUAGAGUGCAGAAGGGGCAACUGGAAUUCUCGGUGUAGCGGUGAAAUGCGUAGAUAUCGAGAGGAACACCUGCGGCGAAGGCGGGUUGCUGGGCUGACACUGACGCUGAUGCGCGAAAGCCAGGGGAGCGAACGGGAUUAGAUACCCCGGUAGUCCUGGCCUUAAACGAUGGAUGCUUGGUGUCUGGAGUUUUAUAGUCUCCGGGUGCCGUAGCUAACGCGUUAAGCAUCCCCGCCUGGGGGAGUACGGUCGCAAGACUGAAACUCAAAGAAUUGACGGGGACCCGCACAAGCGGUGGAGCAUGUGGUUCAUUCGACGCA
This 924-nucleotide ribosomal RNA is filed under the name uncultured Bacillota bacterium. RNAcentral describes it as "bacterial SSU rRNA". It matches the Rfam family "Bacterial small subunit ribosomal RNA", at positions 58 to 958 of the family's 1533-position model. Lineage: Bacteria; Bacillati; Bacillota. The record is from RNAcentral.